UUUGGACUAAUUUGGACUUAUGAAGGGAGGUAACCUAUGUACCAACAAUUGUUAGCAUUACUCAGAUAUGAGAGUCCUAUAAUUUUUGUUGAUUUGGCUACCUAUGUACUAGUGUUGGAUUCAAGUGGAAUUUGGUGUGAAUUAUUUUAAUGUUUCUCUUCAGCACAUUUUAUUUACCACCUUCAUGGUUCACUUGUGGUAAACCUCUACUGCUUAAUCUCAUACAAGCCUGCUUUACUAAGCAAGAUCGAGCCCUUAAACUGCUUCAUUGUUGAUUGUAUUGGAUAUAACCAAUCCGUCAUUUUUGGUUUUACUGGAUUGCUUUGGUAGGCCGAUCGCAAGUGCACCAGAAUCAUGGUUUGAUGUUGUUGAGCGGACCUCAAUGGACAAUAACAAGACACUACCAUAAGUAUUUAUUCUAUUGGCUACCAUAAGGGAAAUAAAUCCAGUUACUGUGUGACAUCAUAAUGCAAUCUUUCAGGAAGCUGAAGUAUGAGGAAAUAGUUGCCAACAUAUGACCAGAUUUUGGAACUAAUGGAAAGGAGUUAAUAAAGGUAACCGGUCUGUCGUGUCAGCAAUGAUCUCUAUAGGAACUUAUCCUUCCUAAAUCUUAGUAUAAUGGAGAGACCAGUUCAGUUUGAAGUGCCAGAUGAAGCAAGGCUUUCCGCCAAAAGUGUAGUUGUUCUCCAAAAUCUUUGCCAAAAGGUUAGUAUCAUUAUGCCUUGCAUGCUACCUGUUUAUACCAUGAUCGUUGGUUUACUUGCUAAUAAAAAUAUUGGUAGUAUGUGUUUGGUCUCAGCAACUUCUAUUGUGCUUAUUUUUAUAAUAAUGGCCUACAUGUAGGAUUCAUUUUCUCUGUAGUAUAAUAAGCCCAUUAAAACUAUCGAAUGCCAUUGUCCGUGCAUCCAUUAUUUUUUGUAACUGUGCUAUGUACAUGUAACAGUGUAGGGGCUCGUCUAUUUCAUGGUAGUACACUGUAUUUUUUACUGAACUUUUUUGGAAAUCCCGUGACUCACUUUUUUAGGUCCUCUCCGUUGGACUUUUGGUAAAGUCCCAGAAAUCUUAAUCUUACGAAUUGCUAAUUGGUUUAUACUAAUAUGAUGGCCAUUUUUUAGUAGCUUUAAGCAAUUUUGAAUCAGGUUCCCAUUGAGUUAAUAAUUUUAUACUUAUCCUUUGCUUUUAACUUCAUCAUUUGAUCACAUGUUGAAACAACAAUUUUUUUGUUAUUUAUAAAUCAAAUGCAUUGUACUUAUAUUCAUCCCUAUGCAGUCCUAUGAUUGAUACGGAAACUAACCUUUCUAUUUCAUCUCAAUAAUAGUGAAUUAUUUCAAAUACGAUGGCACUAACUGUCUAAGAUUGCACUAAAUUUGGAAACCAUUUUUCAAUGCGUGUAAGCAAGUUUGAAUCAGGUUCCGGUUGAGUUAAUAUUUUUAUACUUAUCAUUUGACAUUAACUUCAUUUGAUUAGUGAUUGAUGUAUUGGCUAUCCCAUGAAUAGAAGAUGAACUGAUAGUUGUUGAAGAUGGUCAUUUAGGAACCAUAUAUGUUCGUGUAGCUAGUAAUGACCUAUAAGACCAUCUGUUGUUGCUGUUGCAGCUACUUGAGAUAGACCCCUUCCCAUCGUACCAACAAACUGAUUAUAUGACAUACUAAUAUUUCAUAUGUCAGAAAAUACCUACGGGAUCAAUCUCUUUCAGUUAGGAAUCGACAAAUCCAAGGUAAAGAAAACCCUACUUUUUGUAGCACUACUGAUUCUCUUUUUGAUUAACUCCUAUCUCUUUCUAUACAUGCUUGGACCUUAGGAUUUGUUCUCUUUUAUAUUUGUAUAUAUGCUUGGAUCCUCGCAGCUCUUGUAACUGUUGUUUUGUUAUUUAUUUAAUGGAAUGAAGUUCUUCAAUGCCAGGUCCGGUCUGUAUUAGAAAUUAACCUCGAUCAAAUCACAAUAGCUAAGAGGAAACAAUAGGUAUGACAAAGAUGUUGAGUUUAAGUUACUGAAAUAGAUAAAUGCAUUAGCCAUACCAAGAAAUUCAGGAUCACCAUAACAAUCCAGUUAGUCAAACCAUUAGCAAAAUUUAGAACACAAUAAUCAUAAACACACAUACAAUUCUUGCAACAUUUACUCAUUAAUGUGGUUCAUGGAAUCUAAAGCUCGCAUGAUUUGAUAAUAAGAUGUCUUGGACUUCAUUGGACAUGAUCUACCUAGAGCAAUGAUACAAAUACAUUUCUUAACCUGAACCAGUUUAUAUAACUAUGCAAAGCCUCUAUAAUUGUUAGGUAUUUACAUAAAUAAUACCUUAACUAUGGAUAACUGGUUAGUUGUUACCUUUUCCUUGUAGUGUAGGUUGGCGUAGCAACCUGAUGGCCUUUUAUAGCAACAAUUAUUGGUGGAGAACCACUUUUUUCACACAAACCUUUUCUGGAACCUGAUGGCCUUUUCUGGCAAAUUCUUGGCGUUGCAACAUGAUUUUCUGGCAACAAUUAUAUACAAGACCUUUUUUCAUUUUUGUCAUUUUUAUUUCAUUAUCUGACCUGUCCUGCCUCUAUUUCUUUUAUCAGGGAGCUUAGAAUUGCAUGCACAGUUGUUCCAACAUGGGAGAGUUAGAAGUAUUCACAAAAGAGGUUUGAUCUUCAGAGACGCGUAUGAUAAUACCUAUAUGGAAAAAUAACAGCUAAAGCAACCUUGUUAUGCAUCUUGUAGGGUGCAGUACAGCUAUUCCACUUAAUUAGAAUUUAUGAGCUCUAUUUCUGCUCAGUAGAUGCAUAAUGUAGCAUCUGCAAUGUAUUGGUGUACUUAUUGCUUCAACUAAUCUUUCUUUUUGUGAAAGUAUUAAGCUAUUUGAGUUGCAGUUUUGCAACCAGUAUUCUGUUCCAAAGGACAAACUGGAGCAUUUCAAAAAUAUUACUGCACAUGACAUAGUUUGUUCAUAGGUUUGCAGCUUUUCCGCAUUUUAUUUAGUGUGGCCGAAAUAAUUUGGCUUCUCUGAAGGAUUCACACCUUUUUUAAUGUUGACUCAACUGUCCUCAGAAAUCUUCUGAGGUGCUGCUGAAGGAAGAGGAUGUUGUAGUAUGCAAUGUUAAGAUAUAUCUUACUCGUGGAAAAUAUAACCCCCUCGAAAGGUUUUUGAUAUUGAAUGCUACUUUAUCUCUCUUAUUGAUUUGUCUGAAAUAUCAAAAUUCUAAUUGAUCACAUUCCUUUUGUGUAUGUAACAACCAAUCACCAGCAUCAAGUUCUUUAUGGUAAUUACUUGCUUCUGGUAAACUUAUGUGUUUUGAUUGAUAGUUAUUUCAGUAACUAUGAUACGAUUUUCUUGCAAAAACUAUGAAUAUAUGUCCACUCUAUCCAUCAUGUGAUAGGAACAUUCAGGGUGGUGGCAUGGAGAUUUUGAACAUGGGGUGGAGAGCAGACAAUGGACUUUGGUUGUUGUUGCGCGGUGGUGGGCUCUUCCUCAGUAUAGGAACAGUCAGGUGGCUAGCUAGAACAAAAGAAGCUGCAGAGAGCGCUAAUUGCUUUGUGUCAAUCUAUGUGUAGAUAAUUGAAGACUUUGAGGAGGUGCAGGUGCAGAGCCGAUGGUUUGAGAUCCUUAGCGUGGGCUACUGCUCAUAGGUAAAUAUCUUGGCCUGUAUGGUUUUCUAUGAAUUUCUAUGCACUACACUACUCCAGGAGGAGGCUUGGGAUGCUUGUGGCAGCAACGUGUUGCACAAGACCACAAACAAAGGGAAGAGCUGGGUGCACAACAAGGCUGUCGCCGCCAACCUCUACUCCGUCAAGUAAUCAUACUACUACUGCUGCUCUCUUGCUUGUUAGAAACAUUUUGUAAUUAUGACGCUGUCACAGGUUCCUUGAUGACAACAAAGGAUUUGUGCUAGGCAACGACGAUGUGUUGCUUCAGGGUCUUGGCUGAACGAUCAAACAUCCUAUGUAUAUCUGUGUACAACAAACGACAUCUGCUGCUACUACUACCAUAAAAGACUGCGGGCUGUGCUUGCGUUCUCUCUUCUGUAACACAAAUGAGUGUAAAGAGACAUGUGCUACUUCCUUGGAACUUGAAAACCUUGUAAACUCAUGUCUUCAUGCGUCGUGCUUCAUGUGCGAAAACGCUUAGGUCUCUUCCUCUCCUCCACCUCUCCCUUCUUCACCUACCAAUGGGUAAUCACAAUGCCUGACCUAUCAUUUAAAAUUCUAUAUUGAUUCUUUAGAAAUAAUUU
Zea mays is the source of this 4205-nucleotide long non-coding RNA. RefSeq lists it as uncharacterized. The record is from RefSeq and is a predicted model, not a curated record. Lineage: Eukaryota; Viridiplantae; Streptophyta; Magnoliopsida; Poales; Poaceae. The transcript has 3 exons.